UACGGGGGGGGCAAGCGUUGUUCGGAAUUACUGGGCGUAAAGGGCUCGUAGGCGGCCAACUAAGUCAUACGUGAAAUCCCUCGGCUUAACCGGGGAACUGCGUCUGAUACUGGAUGGCUUGAGUUCGGGAGAGGGAUGCGGAAUUCCAGGUGUAGCGGUGAAAUGCGUAGAUAUCAGGAGGAACACCGGUGGCGAAGGCGGGUCUCUGGGACGUAACUGACGCUGAGGAGCGAAAGCGUGGGUAGCAAACAGG
RNAcentral lists this ribosomal RNA (253 nucleotides) under uncultured bacterium. Its description in RNAcentral is "partial 16S ribosomal RNA". It matches the Rfam family "Bacterial small subunit ribosomal RNA", at positions 524 to 776 of the family's 1533-position model. The record is from RNAcentral.